Molecule: ribosomal RNA, 253 nt
Filed under: uncultured prokaryote
Description: partial 16S ribosomal RNA
Rfam family: Bacterial small subunit ribosomal RNA
Source: RNAcentral
UACGUAGGGGGCGAGCGUUGUCCGAAGUUACUGGGCGUAAAGUGUGCGCAGGCGGCAGAGCAAGUCGAGUGUGAAAGCCCCGAGCUUAACUUGGGAAUUGCGCUCGAAACUACUUUGCUGGAGUGUGGCAGAGGAAGGUGGAAUUCCAGGUGUAGCGGUGAAAUGCGUAGAGAUCUGGAGGAACACCGAUGGCGAAGGCAGCCUUCUGGGCCAACACUGACGCUCAUGCACGAAAGCGUGGGGAGCAAACAGG